RNA transcript from Mycetomoellerius zeteki, 1514 nucleotides. RefSeq lists it as uncharacterized. The transcript is spliced from 3 exons. The record is from RefSeq and is a predicted model, not a curated record. NCBI's taxonomy places the organism in Eukaryota, Metazoa, Arthropoda, Insecta, Hymenoptera, Formicidae.
GCCCAGGUGGGGAUCGGGAUCGUCUUCUGGUACGAGACAUCGCCCGGUCAUCACACCUCGAGCAUCCUCCGUGUUGUCCAGACACGUCCUACGUUCUCCAACGUCGUUUCGUCCGCUUUCGUCCCAUCUCGCGAUACCGGUAUUGGUCCCGGGCCAAUCGCGUUAUCUCAUUAAGAAUCAUCGAAAAAAGUGGUCGAUCCGAGUUCACGCCCGUUGAGUAAGAAGAUAAUUUGUAAAUUUACAAUCACAGCCGAACAGGAAACAUCCUGCAGUCGCUGGCUUCAAUCAGAAUCGAGUAGAAAAUAAUAACUUAGGAACUGGAAUCAAGUAGAGGGCAACUUGACGGAUUUUAAGACAGACCGAAGUCAAGUAGACAGGUGAAACCGAUAAGGUCACGAGUUGCAUUCGAACGAAAGGCAACUCGACAAGUAGCCGUUCAUCAAUGUUAUCAAUCAACAUGCGUGUAUUUAAGACUGUACUACUCAUCGUGUUCUUUGCAAGCGUUCAGUGUUUACCCGUCACCGACAAGCCGAUCGAGUCCGAGACUAAUUCCAAGAUCGAGUCUGAGAUCAAGGAUGAAAUCAUAUCGAUGAUACCGCAGGAGACAGCUGUAACCUUCGCUGCACCGACGUCCACGCUCUCCGAUGCCAUCGAUUACUACGACCAACGGCAGAACGGGACCGAAAACUAUCGCAUCCACUUAGACGGCCUUGUAUUCGUAUUUGCACCGGUUGAAGCACUGCUCCUGGCCGGCGCCACCGCUGGCAACUCGGAGCAUAAUUUAUCAACUUCCAGUCAGAAGGUAUCCACUCCGCCGACGAUCCAGUCCAUCAACGAACUAGACAAACCCAUCAUUGAUAGCCUUCCCAAUAAAACCGAUUUGGCGAUCUCGAAGACACUAAACAAACCAGCUGUACGGUUGGUGAAUUUCUUGGCGCCCUUGAUACGUCGCAUACGUCAUGUGCGAGGCACGAGCGUGCACUAAAACGAUUCCUCGAUGCUUGCAUUCCAAUACGUAAUGUUCCGUCUACAGUAUAUAUUAAGAAAACGGGAUAGGAUAUCUGCAUCUACAGGGAUGAUGGACGAAUACUCGUAGAAUAUAACGUGUAUGAUUGACGACCGAAUCGAUGUCGUACCACGCAUUUAUAUGGUGUCUAGUAUUAAUAAAGGGACGCGCUAAUAUUAGCGUUAUCCUCGAGCUCAUUUCUCUGUAACUUAAAAGAUGGAACUUUUAAAUGAAAAUACAUGAAAUUACAGGAAUGGCGAUUUCAUUCACCUUAUCCGUACAAUGUAACGGGCGGUUAUGAUUCAGUAACCACAUAUGUAUUUACAUGUUAAACAAGCUAAAUGUAAUAUUCGUUUUGCCAUAAUUCCGUUUUGAUUUAGCGUCACAGUACACAAAUUACUAUUCAUUUACUUAUAAACCAAUCGUAAUUGUUAGUGACGAUUUUUGACAAUUGGAAAUUUUUUACAUGCACUUACAUGAUAUAAUCUGCUUUAAUUAUGUGUAAAGU